CAGUAACGGCGAGUGAAGCGGCAACAGCUCAAAUUUGAAAUCUGGCCUCGGCCCGAGUUGUAAUUUGGAGAGGAUGCUUUGGGCGCGACGCCUUCCAAGUCCCCUGGAACGGGGCGCCGGAGAGGGUGAGAGCCCCGUACGGUUGGACGUCAAGCCUGUGUAAAGCUCCUUCGACGAGUCGAGUAGUUUGGGAAUGCUGCUCUAAACGGGAGGUGGACCCCUUCUAAAGCUAAAUACCGGCUGGAGACCGAUAGCGCACAAGUAGAGUGAUCGAAAGAUGAAAAGAACUUUGAAAAGAGGGUUAAACAGUACGUGAAAUUGUUGAAAGGGAAGCGCUUGUGACCAGACUUGCGCCGGGGUGAUCAUCGGGCGUUCUCGCCCGUGCACUCGCCCCGGCUCAGGCCAGCGUCGGUUCGGGAGGGGGGACAAAGGCGCCGGGAAUGUGGCUCUUCGGAGUGUUAUAGCCCGGCGUGCCAUGCUCCCACCCGGACCGUGGCUCGCGCUCUGCAAGGACGCUGGCGUAAUGGUCAUCAGCGGCCCGUCUUGAAACACGGACCAAGGAGUCGAGGUUCUGCGCGAGUGUAUGGGUGACAAACCCGCACGCGCAAUGAAAGUGAACGUAGGUGGGAGCCUCGGCGCACCACCGACCGAUCCUGAUGUUCUCGGAUGGAUUUGAGUACGAGCGCAGGGCCUCGGACCCGAAAGAUGGUGAACUAUGCUUGGAUAGGGUGAAGCCAGAGGAAACUCUGGUGGAGGCUCGCAGCGGUUCUGACGUGCAAAUCGAUCGUCAAAUCUGAGCAUGGGGGCGAAAGACUAAUCGAACCA
RNAcentral lists this ribosomal RNA (825 nucleotides) under Gongromerizella pini. Its description in RNAcentral is "Chloridium pini partial large subunit ribosomal RNA". It matches the Rfam family "Eukaryotic large subunit ribosomal RNA", at positions 81 to 942 of the family's 3401-position model. The record is from RNAcentral. Lineage: Eukaryota; Fungi; Ascomycota; Sordariomycetes; Chaetosphaeriales; Chaetosphaeriaceae.